RNAcentral lists this ribosomal RNA (301 nucleotides) under uncultured bacterium. RNAcentral's name for it is "partial 16S ribosomal RNA". It matches the Rfam family "Bacterial small subunit ribosomal RNA", at positions 509 to 809 of the family's 1533-position model. The record is from RNAcentral.
CAGCAGCCGCGGUAAUACGAAGGGUGCAAGCGUUACUCGGAAUUACUGGGCGUAAAGCGUGCGUAGGUGGUGGUUUAAGUCCGUUGUGAAAGCCCUGGGCUCAACCUGGGAAUUGCAGUGGAUACUGGGUCACUAGAGUGUGGUAGAGGAUAGUGGAAUUUCCGGUGUAGCAGUGAAAUGCGUAGAGAUCGGAAGGAACAUCUGUGGCGAAGGCGACUAUCUGGGCCAACACUGACACUGAGGCACGAAAGCGUGGGGAGCAAACAGGAUUAGAUACCCCAGUAGUCCCUGUCUCUUAUCC